AUCUUUGCGCUUGGGGCAAUGACGCAGCUAGUGAGGUUCUAACCGAGGCGCGUCUAUUGCUGGUUGAAAACUAUUUCCAAACCCCCUCUUCGGCCUGGGUUCGCCCCUGGCCGUAGAGAAUUUUUGGAAGGGCUCCCUUACCCAGGGUAAAGCC
Nicotiana sylvestris (wood tobacco) is the source of this 154-nucleotide non-coding RNA. The record is from Rfam. NCBI's taxonomy places the organism in Eukaryota, Viridiplantae, Streptophyta, Magnoliopsida, Solanales, Solanaceae.